UUUCCCGCCUGAAACUCUAGCAUAUCAAUAAGCGGAGGAAAAGAAACCAACCGGGAUUGCCUCAGUAACGGCGAGUGAAGCGGCAAAAGCUCAAAUUUGAAAUCUAACACUUUCAGUGUUCGAGUUGUAAUCUGAAGAACUUUUCUCUGGGUGUGCCUUUAUCUAUGUUCCUUGGAACAGGACGUCAUAGAGGGUGAGAACCCCGUAUGAUUUUGGCCUACAUCCUUUGUGAGAUUUGUUCAAAGAGUCGAGUUGUUUGGGAAUGCAGCUCUAAGUGGGUGGUAAAUUCCAUCUAAAGCUAAAUAUUGGCGAGAGACCGAUAGCGAACAAGUACAGUGAUGGAAAGAUGAAAAGAACUCUGAAGAGAGAGUGAAAAAGUACGUGAAAUUGCUGAAAGGGAAGGGCUUUAGGUCAGACUUGGUGUUUAAUGAUUAUCUUCUCUUCUUGAGUUGUGCACUCGUUUUUCACUGGGCCAAUAUCAGUUUUGGCGGUGGAGUACCUCUUGGAAUGUGGCUUUGCUUCGGUAAAGUGUUAUAGCCUUGAGACGAUCCACUUGUCGAGACUGAGGACUGCGCUUUGUGCUAGGAUAUUGGCGUAAUGACCUUAAGCCGCUCGUCUUGAAACACGAACCAAGGAGUCUAACGUCUAUGCGAGUGUUUGGGUGUAAAACCCGUACGCGGAAUGAAAGUGAACGUAGGUUGGGGCCUUCGGGUGCACAAUCGACCGAUCCUGACGUUUUCAGAUGGAUUUGAGUAAGAGCAUAGCUGUUGGGACCCGAAAGAUGGUGAACUAUGCCUGAAUAGGGUGAAGCCAGAGGAAACUCUGGUGGAAGCUCGUAGCGGUUCUGACGUGCAAAUCGAUCGUCGAAUUUGGGUAUAGGGGCGAAAGACUAAUCGAACCAUCUAGUAGCUGGUCCUGCGAGUUUCCCCCCCCCGGGAAAAACCAC
Molecule: ribosomal RNA, 946 nt
Filed under: Saccharomycopsis sp.
Lineage: Eukaryota; Fungi; Ascomycota; Saccharomycetes; Ascoideales; Saccharomycopsidaceae
Description: partial large subunit ribosomal RNA
Rfam family: Eukaryotic large subunit ribosomal RNA
Source: RNAcentral